UGCAAGUCGAGCGGACAGAUGGGAGCUUGCUCCCUGAUGUUAGCGGCGGACGGGUGAGUAACACGUGGGUAACCUGCCUGUAAGACUGGGAUAACUCCGGGAAACCGGGGCUAAUACCGGAUGGUUGUUUGAACCGCAUGGUUCAAACAUAAAAGGUGGCUUCGGCUACCACUUACAGAUGGACCCGCGGCGCAUUAGCUAGUUGGUGAGGUAACGGCUCACCAAGGCAACGAUGCGUAGCCGACCUGAGAGGGUGAUCGGCCACACUGGGACUGAGACACGGCCCAGACUCCUACGGGA
Molecule: ribosomal RNA, 300 nt
Filed under: Bacillus atrophaeus
Lineage: Bacteria; Bacillati; Bacillota; Bacilli; Caryophanales; Bacillaceae
Description: bacterial SSU rRNA
Rfam family: Bacterial small subunit ribosomal RNA
Source: RNAcentral